Non-coding RNA from Poecilia reticulata (guppy), 4015 nucleotides. The record is from RefSeq and is a predicted model, not a curated record. Lineage: Eukaryota; Metazoa; Chordata; Actinopteri; Cyprinodontiformes; Poeciliidae.
UGUCUUCUCCAGCGUCCACCUCAUCCACGGUAACGGCGGCCUCCCAGCAGGAGGCUUCGCCGCUGGUGCUGGGUGGGGAUGCAGAAUCUCUCCUGGGGGGAGACCUGUUCUCCAGCCUGGGGGACAUCGGGCCCUUUGACCUGUCGCCUCUCUCGUCCUCGGACCUCCUGAACGGAGAAUGCCUUCCUCUCCCGUUGGACAGUUUUAUCAACCUCUCCCCUCCCUAUAGACACGACUACCACUUUGGACUGGAGGACCAUGAAGGAAUCAGCGAACUGUUCGACUGUGACUUUGAGGACUUGUCGCACGUUUUGGGCGAUGGGUAGACGGAGAAAAGACGACUUAAAUGUAGGACUUUAUCUUUCUGCUGAAGGARAGCUGUGAACCAAAAUUUUAAGGUCCAAUCUUAGUUUUCCUUCCCUUUGGGCUCUGGGAAAUYGCCUAGUUAGGAAAUCUCAAAUUUGCCCUUAAUUGUACAUACCAAUGUGAGCACUUCUCUGUGGCUAUUUUAAAAAAAAUUUUGACCAGGAUUUCAGCUAUAGUAUGGCUAUUUAAAUUAUUUAAAUAAGUUUAUUCUGAUAUUUUGUACCACGUUGUUGGUUUUGGAUGUAUUAUCCAAGUAGACAUUGGGCAGAGGAGGAUUGGAGUUUGCGUGUGCAGCAACAUGAUGUCUAGGAUUAGUUCCUGUGAACACUGAGUCCAGAUGUUUGAGAUUUCCUCAGUGUUUCUCUGAAAGGCCUUCAGGUUGAGGAGUUUUGACUGUCGAGGGAAGAUUGACGGCCUACUAUUAGAAAGCAUCCUGGAGGUUUUCAGAAUGAUGAUCAGCAGAAAAGCACAAGGUAAUUACAACAUUGGAAGAUUCUCCAAACUCUGGAAUCCUGUAAAACUAGAUCAUGUUGUAUCUGAGAUGUUUUAAAAGUCAGAGCCCCCGACGGGAUUUUUUUAUCCACUCUUCCUGAAGUACUUUUCUGAUUACAUUGUAAGAAUCAGCUUUCUUAGAAUUGACCAGUUUUGAGGACGUCUCUAGAGGAGAAACAUUGUCAGUGUGUGGGGAAACCAAGCGGUGACAGAUGAGGAGGAAUUUCUUAGCAUCCUGGUAAAAAGAAGUUAAAAAAGACCCMAAAAUAAACCCAUCCUUUAUUCGUGUGGCAUAAUCUCAAAACUGAAAAGUUUAGAAAAACAAGAUCUUUAUUUUUUUAAGAAAUAAUUGAAUUCUAGUUAAGAAGUGUGAAUUUCAACAUGGCGACACCCAUCCAUUGCAUUAGCUCUGACAAACAUUUUAAGCUUUACUUUCCAUAAACACCACUUUAAAUUUCUUCMUCACAUCAUUCCAGGCUCUACAUGUAACACUGAUUUAAGAUGCAUUCUUCCACCUGUGUUCUGUAAACAUGUUUCUAUCACAUCUCACUACUGUAGAUGUGAGGAGUGGCCAUAUUGAAAUGCAAAGUCCGCCUUACAAGUUAUAACUAGGGGUAGUCUGAGUUGCUCAGUUUCCCCAGUGGGAAAUCCAAUUUCAGAGGGCAAUCAGCUGAUUUUUCUGACUGGGAUGACAGAAUUGUCCAGUUUUUAGUGCAUCUGUAAUGCAGCAAUUAGCCCACRGGUUUUCUAACAGAUUGAAAAAGCUGAUAUURUGUCUGGUGCGCUAUUCCCAUGUUGAUUGGAUCUGAUGUUUCUGGUUAUUAUCAGAUUCUGACUGAUUUUCUAUUCACUGUGAGUCUAUCAGUUCUUUAUUAUUCUUAAUACUCUGUUUUUUACUCUAACUAUGUCCAUAUUGUCAGGCACACAGCAUCACAGACUCUACUAGAUUUUUCUUUCUUGUGGAAAAGCUUCAUUCUUUGCUCCUUUGAGAUGAUAUGUUGGYGUAGAUUCCCAGUCAUCACCCAGUCAUAAAGCUUAAUCCAAAAGCUUCUGAACAUUGUUGGAAGUAGCUGUARUCAGAACUCUCACAACAAUAUGGUUAAGGUUGUAAAUGUGGCAAUURGGACACAAAUCACUAGCUGUGCUUAAAAUUUACCAUAUUGCACAAUUUGACAUCUAGAAAAUAAAUGUGCAAUUUCCAAUUUUGAAAAAAGCUUUUUUAUUUUUUUUUAUCAAAUGUUUUGGUGCUAGGAUGGCGUUAGGGUUUUUGGCUGUAUAAAACUUGGUUUAAUUUGCAAAACUGCAACAGAAACUAUUUUGGCCUCAAACGAUCCACGACCAGAUGCUGCCACUGACGCAAACCACGAAGAAGGAAGCAGUUGGAGGAUGAUGGCGCAUGAGUUAUUGUUCAUGAGUGAUUUUAAUUCCAUUUCUUAUUUAAUGAAAACACUGCAAUUGCAAAAUUGUGUUUUUUCAACAUURGCGGAAUACCAACAAAGUUUUACUCGCAUUUAAAAUGGAAACGCAGCUACUGGUGCUUCCCCUCCGCCCUGCUAAAUGUUUGGAUCGUUGUUGCUUUUGAGAUUAUCUCAUUUUAUGAUUUCUARAUAUUUUUACGCCUUGUGAUCAACUGUUUACCAACCCACUGAUAUUAUUCUUGUGUUGCACUUCAGGAGGUAGCAACAAACCACAAUGAACUGUAAGCGGUAGAAUGCUAUCGUGGGGUCAGCAUUGAUGUUUUGUAUCAGGUCAAAAGUGAAGAAGAAGAAGUGAAUAACGAGUUUGUCAGGGUCGCUCGCUUAUUGAACUMUGAUCUGAAAGGGGUUUCAGUCUCAUCAGACCAAACCAAACGAUUCCAGAUUAAAUUCAAGUAGAAUUUUAGCAAACUUCAUAUCUCUUGUCACGGUAGGACAUUUCUCCCAAAUAGCUGGUUAAAUGGCAUAUUAUGGUCGUUAUGGCGACUUGGAGAUGACACAUUUUCCCCCUGUUGUCUGAACAGUGACCUUUGCCCUUUUUGACCAUCCUUYUCACUGCGGGACAUACUAGUGUCAAAACAUAAUGGGAAUGUAUGAAUUGAAAACAAUUGCGCUUCUAUAGAUUGUUAAAACAGCGACUUUUUCCCUCUACAUAAUAGAUUCUCUGAAGUUAAAGGUAGGGUACUUAAUUUUUUUAGAUGAGAUUAUGCUGCUGCAAUAAAAGAUUUAAGUAAGGUUUUUUUUUUUUUUUUUUACCAGCAAUGCCAAGAAGUUUGUUUCCAUGUGUGCAGACUGCUGCGGCUUUGAGAAGCAGUUAAUCCUGAUCAGACUUACUCAGUCCUCACGGCGUUCAGCCGCAGUCUCAGGUGUUUGGAGCAGAGUGAAGUCUUAACUCAAACAUGUGAACAGGUGUGUUUCUAGAAGGGUUAGGUUCUGGUGUGUUUUAUUUUCCUUUACAUGUCUAGCAGAAGAUUCAGAUGUUAGACGUUCACGUGCUGGAAGACAUGGAGCUUUAAUCUCAAUCUCAAAGCUUACACAGUUGGCUGUGGCUCACUUCGUUGCUGCAGGUGUUAGGAAAGUUUGGGUAGAAGUUUUAGAUUUGGGGGAAAAAGGAAAGCAGAAACGAGGAUGUCCUGUUGUUUUUCAGUAAAUGCACUUCAGAUCGGCUCAGUAUUGCUCAUGCCUUAAAUCAGUGACCUAUCAGGUAGAAGGGAGUCAGUCAUCUUCAUCUUGACUGAAACCCUUCAUUCAUGUUUUUUUUCUGCUUCAAUUGCAUCAACCUGCAUCUUCAUAUUUGAUUACAAAGCUUGGAGAMACUGUCUGCUUUCAGUUUAGAUCAGCAAUAAGCAUAUAUCAGAUGUUUCUCAUGCAAUGUUGUACAUGUAAAAUCUUUGUCUUAACUUAUGUAAGCUAACCAUUUCAUUAGAUUUUUUUGCUUUCGUAAGCAUUGGACUUUGAUGUGUGUAUGUGUCUGUGUUUAUAUUUAUUUUUUGUUCUGGAAAAGGGUUUAGGAGGGAUAAAGGUACAGGUAAAUUUCAUUCCAUCUGGCUGAUGGAGACUUUAUUUCAAAUAUUAUCCCCCGGAAUUGUGACAUUUUUGUAAAUCUCCACCUUGUUUUGUGCAUAUUUAUAACCUAAUGUUUUUUCCCUGUCCUAUUUAAAUACAUACUCUAUUUCUCCACA